RNAcentral lists this ribosomal RNA (891 nucleotides) under uncultured Staphylococcus sp. RNAcentral's name for it is "bacterial SSU rRNA". It matches the Rfam family "Bacterial small subunit ribosomal RNA", at positions 43 to 914 of the family's 1533-position model. Lineage: Bacteria; Bacillati; Bacillota; Bacilli; Caryophanales; Staphylococcaceae. The record is from RNAcentral.
CGUGCCUAAUACAUGCAAGUCGAGCGAACAGAUAAGGAGCUUGCUCCUUUGACGUUAGCGGCGGACGGGUGAGUAACACGUGGGUAACCUACCUAUAAGACUGGGAUAACUUCGGGAAACCGGAGCUAAUACCGGAUAACAUUUGGAACCGCAUGGUUCUAAAGUGAAAGAUGGUUUUGCUAUCACUUAUAGAUGGACCCGCGCCGUAUUAGCUAGUUGGUAAGGUAACGGCUUACCAAGGCAACGAUACGUAGCCGACCUGAGAGGGUGAUCGGCCACACUGGAACUGAGACACGGUCCAGACUCCUACGGGAGGCAGCAGUAGGGAAUCUUCCGCAAUGGGCGAAAGCCUGACGGAGCAACGCCGCGUGAGUGAUGAAGGGUUUCGGCUCGUAAAACUCUGUUAUUAGGGAAGAACAAACGUGUAAGUAACUAUGCACGUCUUGACGGUACCUAACCAGAAAGCCACGGCUAACUACGUGCCAGCAGCCGCGGUAAUACGUAGGUGGCAAGCGUUAUCCGGAAUUAUUGGGCGUAAAGCGCGCGUAGGCGGUUUCUUAAGUCUGAUGUGAAAGCCCACGGCUCAACCGUGGAGGGUCAUUGGAAACUGGGAAACUUGAGUGCAGAAGAGGAAAGUGGAAUUCCAUGUGUAGCCGUGAAAUGCGCAGAGAUAUGGAGGAACACCAGUGGCGAAGGCGACUUUCUGGUCUGUAACUGACGCUGAUGUGCGAAAGCGUGGGGAUCAAACAGGAUUAGAUACCCUGGUAGUCCACGCCGUAAACGAUGAGUGCUAAGUGUUAAGGGGGUUUCCGCCCCUUAGUGCUGCAGCUAACGCAUUAAGCACUCCGCCUGGGGAGUACGACCGCAAGGUUGAAACUCAAAUGAAUUGAC